RNAcentral lists this ribosomal RNA (1055 nucleotides) under uncultured Acidobacteriota bacterium. Its description in RNAcentral is "bacterial SSU rRNA". It matches the Rfam family "Bacterial small subunit ribosomal RNA", at positions 331 to 1389 of the family's 1533-position model. The record is from RNAcentral. Lineage: Bacteria; Pseudomonadati; Acidobacteriota.
UCCGAUUCCUACGGGAGGCAGCAGUGGGGAAUCUUGCACAAUGGGCGAAAGCCUGAUGCAGCGACGCCGCGUGGGGGAUGAAGCUUUUCGGAGUGUAAACCCCUUUCGACCCGGACGAAUGCCCCGCAAGGGGACUGACGGUACGGGUAUAAGAAGCCCCGGCUAACUACGUGCCAGCAGCCGCGGUAAGACGUAGGGGGCCAGCGUUGCUCGGAAUUACUGGGUGUAAAGGGUUCGUAGGCGGUGUGGCAAGUCGGGAGUGAAAUCUCUGGGCUCAACCCAGAGGCUGCUUCCGAAACUGCCGUGCUUGAGUGUGGGAGAGGCGCGUGGAAUUGCAGGUGUAGCGGUGAAAUGCGUAGAUAUCAGCAGGAACACCCGUGGCGAAAGCGGCGCGCUGGACCACAACCGACGCUGAGGAACGAAAGCUAGGGGAGCAAACAGGAUUAGAUACCCUGGUAGUCCUAGCCCUAAACGAUCAGGACUUGGGGUGCUUCACGUUCGUGGAGCGUCCCGGAGCUAACGCGUUAAGUCCUGCACCUGGGGAGUACGGUCGCAAGACUGAAACUCAAAGGAAUUGACGGGGGCCCGCACAAGCGGUGGAACAUGUGGUUCAAUUCGACGCUACGCGAGGAACCUUACCUGGGCUCGAAGCGCACUUGACUAGCUAUAGAAAUAUGGCCUUCCCGCAAGGGACAAGUGUGGAGGCGCUGCAUGGCUGUCGUCAGCUCGUGCCGUGAGGUGUUGGGUUAAGUCCCGCAACGAGCGCAACCCCUGCACGUAGUUGCCACUCCGCAAGGAGGGAACUCUACGUGGACUGCUCCGGAUAACGGAGAGGAAGGUGGGGAUGACGUCAAGUCCGCAUGGCCUUUAUGUCCAGGGCUACACACGUGUUACAAUGCAGGGCACAAACCGUUGCCAACCCGUGAGGGGGAGCUAAUCGGAAAAAACUCUGCUCAGUUCGGAUUGCAGUCUGCAACUCGACUGCAUGAAGCCGGAAUCGCUAGUAAUGGCGUAUCAGAUCGACGCCGUGAAUACGUUCCCGGGCCUUGUACACA